Molecule: long non-coding RNA, 625 nt
Filed under: Vigna radiata
Lineage: Eukaryota; Viridiplantae; Streptophyta; Magnoliopsida; Fabales; Fabaceae
Description: long non-coding RNA (VRAD_LNC011345)
Source: RNAcentral
CUCUGGUGUGGUUGCAGUUAUUAUUUUAAAAUCGAGUCCAGAGAGUGAAAAUGCUAAACCAAAUACUAGACUAAACAAAUAUCUAAGCACAGUUAAAUUAAAUUAAAUGCAACACUAAAUUAAAGAAAUUAAAAACAACUAAUCCUACAAUGCAAAUUAAUGCAAAACAAAGGGGUAAUUAAACAAGCUUUAGGACAAAACUUAAAGAGGAAAUGUUUCCUUAGUCAAAAGUAGCUCCAUUUGUGCUUGGCCAAAUCGGGUAAAAAAUUAAUUACACCUUCUCUCUUCCUUCUCCACUCCAUUUUCGUUUUUCUUCAACAACCAAACUUUCAAAAUGUUUCUUCCCACCUCCAAAACCGUGAACACACUCCAAGGAACCCCAUUUCAAGUUGCAACACCAUUCAAGAACAAUAAACCCACACUACUACUAAUUCAACCCAACCAAAUCUUCCAUUUCUUCAAUUUUCUUUGCAAAAAAGAAAAUAAUAUCUUAGCCAUCAAGUCCAGGUCUGUCCAGCCACAAUAACAACCCCAAAAUCUGGUUCCAUCCUUGCUUCAAACAUGAAAAACGAAAUUCAAGAAGAAAGAGCCCAAACCACAACACCCACACAUCAAGUUAAGCUCU